AGGACGAACGCUGGCGGCGUGCUUAACACAUGCAAGUCGAGCGGUAAGGCCUUUCGGGGUACACGAGCGGCGAACGGGUGAGUAACACGUGGGUGAUCUGCCCUGCACUUCGGGAUAAGCCUGGGAAACUGGGUCUAAUACCGGAUAUGACCUCAGGUUGCAUGACUUGGGGUGGAAAGAUUUAUCGGUGCAGGAUGGGCCCGCGGCCUAUCAGCUUGUUGGUGGGGUAAUGGCCUACCAAGGCGACGACGGGUAGCCGACCUGAGAGGGUGACCGGCCACACUGGGACUGAGACACGGCCCAGACUCCUACGGGAGGCAGCAGUGGGGAAUAUUGCACAAUGGGCGAAAGCCUGAUGCAGCGACGCCGCGUGAGGAUGAAGGCCUUCGGGUUGUAAACCUCUUUCAGCAGGACGAAGCGCAAGUGACGGUACCUGCAGAAGAAGCACCGGCUAACUACGUGCCAGCAGCCGC
This 473-nucleotide ribosomal RNA is filed under the name uncultured soil bacterium. Its description in RNAcentral is "bacterial SSU rRNA". It matches the Rfam family "Bacterial small subunit ribosomal RNA", at positions 26 to 518 of the family's 1533-position model. The record is from RNAcentral.